GGAAGGAUCAUUAUUGAAUUAUGUUUUCCCGAUGGGUUGUAGCUGGCUCUUCGGAGCAUGUGCACGCCUGUCUGGACUUCAUUUUCAUCCACCUGUGCACCUUUUGUAGUCUUUUUCAGGUAUUGAAGGAAGUGGUCAGCCUAUCAGCUCUUUGCUGGAUGUAAGGACUUGCAGUGUGAAAACAGUGCUGUCCUUUACCUUGACCAUGGACUCUUUUUCCUGUUAGAGUCUAUGUUAUUCAUUAUACUCUUAGAAUGUCAUUGAAUGUCUUUACAUGGGCUAUGCCUAUGAAAAUUAUUAUACAACUUUCAGCAACGGAUCUCUUGGCUCUCGCAUCGAUGAAGAACGCAGCGAAAUGCGAUAAGUAAUGUGAAUUGCAGAAUUCAGUGAAUCAUCGAAUCUUUGAACGCAUCUUGCGCUCCUUGGUAUUCCGAGGAGCAUGCCUGUUUGAGUGUCAUUAUAUUCUCAACUCUCCAAUACUUUGUUGUAAAGGAGAGCUUGGAUUGUGGAGGUUUGCUGGCCCCUUACUUGGGGUCAGCUCCUCUGAAAUGCAUUAGCGGAACUGUCUGCGAUCUGCCACAAGUGUGAUAACUUAUCUACACUGGCGAGGGGAUUGCUUUCUGAUGUUCAGCUUCUAAUCGUCUAAGGACAAUUUCUUGAAUGCUUGACCUCAANUCA
RNAcentral lists this ribosomal RNA (678 nucleotides) under Agaricus sipapuensis. RNAcentral describes it as "eukaryotic LSU rRNA". The stretch from base 304 to 457 matches the Rfam family "5.8S ribosomal RNA". Lineage: Eukaryota; Fungi; Basidiomycota; Agaricomycetes; Agaricales; Agaricaceae. The record is from RNAcentral.